Molecule: small RNA, 924 nt
Filed under: uncultured Patulibacter sp.
Lineage: Bacteria; Bacillati; Actinomycetota; Thermoleophilia; Solirubrobacterales; Patulibacteraceae
Description: bacterial SSU rRNA
Rfam family: Bacterial small subunit ribosomal RNA (bases 1-471)
Source: RNAcentral
GUCGUGAGAUGUUGGGUUAAGUCCCGCAACGAGCGCAACCCCCGUCGCAUGUUGCCAGCAUUAAGUUGGGGACUCAUGCGAGACUGCCGGUGACAAACCGGAGGAAGGUGGGGAUGACGUCAAGUCAUCAUGCCCCUUAUGUCCAGGGCUACACACGUGCUACAUUGGCGCAUACAAAGGGUUGCGAUACCGCGAGGUGGAGCGAAUCCCUUAAAGUGCGUCUCGGUUCGGAUUGCAGGCUGAAACUCGCCUGCAUGAAGGCGGAGUUGCUAGUAAUCGUGGAUCAGCACUGCCACGGUGAAUACGUUCCCGGGCCUUGUACACACCGCCCGUCACACCACGGAAGUGGGCAACACCCGAAGCCGGUGGCCUAACCCUCACGGGAGGGAGCCGUCGAAGGUGGGGCCCGUGACUGGGGUGAAGUCGUAACAAGGUAGCCGUACCGGAAGGUGCGGCUGGAUCACCUCCUUUCUAGGGAGCUCCAGGAUUGGAGCGCCCGUUGUGGCUCCGGUGAGCAAUACCGCUCGCCGGCGCUGGCCGCAACGGGUCACUAGAUGUCGACCGGAUCUGGCGCCCCCUACCAGGGGCGCGACGACAUGGCGCCGCACGAGGUUCGAGCGGUGCCUGCAUGCUGUUGAGUUUUGAGAGACCGCGCAGCGGCCGGAACCCCCGGCCGCUGUCUCUGGUUCUCGGCGGACCUUGAAAACUGCACAGCAAAUUCAACGAAAACGGGUGCCGCACCUCUCCUUAACAGGGUGCGGCGCAAUGUCCUGCCGCCUUAUCAGCGGCGGGAAGAUCGAGAAAGAUCACCGUCAAGAUGUCAAGGGCACAUGGUGGAUGCCUUGGCACCAGGAGUCGAUGAAGGGCGUGAACGGCUGCGAUAAGCCACGAUGAGGCGCUGAAUAGCCUGUGAUCCGUGGAUGC